This 421-nucleotide ribosomal RNA is filed under the name uncultured bacterium. Its description in RNAcentral is "bacterial SSU rRNA". It matches the Rfam family "Bacterial small subunit ribosomal RNA", at positions 356 to 774 of the family's 1533-position model. The record is from RNAcentral.
AAGGAAUAUUGGACAAUGGAGGCAACUCUGAUCCAGCCAUGCCGCGUGAAGGAAUAAGGCCCUAUGGGUUGUAAACUUCUUUUAGACGGGACAAAACCCCUUUACGUGUAAAGGGUUGAUGGUACUGUCAGAAUAAGCAUCGGCUAACUUCGUGCCAGCAGCCGCGGUAAUACGAAGGAUGCAAGCGUUAUCCGGAAUUAUUGGGUUUAAAGGGUGCGUAGGCGGACUAAUAAGUCAGUGGUGAAAGCCUGCAGCUUAACUGCAGAAUUGCCAUUGAUACUGUUAGUCUUGAGUACAGUUGAGGUGGGCGGAAUGUGUCAUGUAGCGGUGAAAUGCUUAGAUAUGACACAGAACACCGAUUGCGAAGGCAGCUUGCUAAGCUGUAACUGACGCUGAGGCACGAAAGCGUGGGGAGCAAACA